Long non-coding RNA from Camelina sativa (false flax), 1220 nucleotides. RefSeq lists it as uncharacterized. The record is from RefSeq and is a predicted model, not a curated record. NCBI's taxonomy places the organism in Eukaryota, Viridiplantae, Streptophyta, Magnoliopsida, Brassicales, Brassicaceae.
CUGUACCAACUAACUAUUCCAAUCGUCGGUUUCUCUUCUUCUUCAAUUCUCCAAUUUACCGUGAUCGCCGCCAUCCAAAUCAUCUUGUCUCUGAUGGUGUAGUAAUCUGUCCUCCGAUGAGUGUCUUGGGUUUAUCUUUACUGUCCAGAAUAAGGUGAGGUUAUCAUGAAGCACUUCCCUUUCGUACCAUCCCGCCCAAUUGGAGCCUGCUUUAAAGAAGAUGAGCCAAAUCAUGUUUCAGCGUAGAAGCAAUGUUCCAGAAACUCACAUCUCGGAUCCCCAGUCCUCCCAGUGUUCGGGUACAAGCCUUUGGAAACACAAAAGAUGAAUGCAUUUAGAAGUCCUGUAAAGGGUAAACAUCUUGUCGUGGAGAUAGGAAGGUUUUUGGACACUAACUCCCUGAGGAUCUGAAGAAAUAUUCUGAAUUGAUUAGAAGAGAUCCAUCACUGAAGCUAACAAGGUCGUCUGCAGAACAAAGAUGUGAUUAGAAGAGAUAUCAUCACUGAAGCUUUGCUUUCUAAAUUUUCCUUCCUCAGCGGCUUUGUUCAAAAGGUGUGAUAGAUAGACAAUUCAUAACAAUGAGAAAAAAAAAAAAAAGAAAGAUAGGGACCUUAGAUAGAGAGUUCUAGAACAUGUAAUCCCCUUAGACAGCUUAGAAUGAAUUCCCAUCUGAUCGUAUCAAAUGCUUUAGCAAUGCCCGUAACUAUUCAUUAUCUCUGCUGCAACAAGAGCACUCUCCCACUAAUAGUCUUCCUUGGACAAAAACUAUGUAUAUUGGGGGUAAUAUCAACUCUGGAAGUAUAGGCUUGAGUCGAAUCAUCAGUAGCUUUGAUAUUGACCUUGUAGACAGUAUUACAACACGAGAUAGGCCUGUAAUCUAUGAUUGCAGAAGUUCCUGGCUUCUUAGUGUUAGGAUUGUAGCAUUUGUUGCAGAGGGCAUGUGAGGAAGAAGUGACUUGUAGUUUCGCAAGCAUUCCUUAUCACAGCUACUCAGUGAAAGUAGGUAGUGUUGAGAUCUCCUUCCUUUGACCGAUUGAUUAUGGACUUCUGCUUAUGGUUUUGUAAGCAAUCCUUGUCACAGCUACCUUCACGUGGGUUUCCUUUUCAUUUUUAGUUUUGAGCUCUGUAAAAAGAAACCUCGACAAGUCACUGUAAUCAUCAGCUUUUUAUUAUUAUUAAACAAAGAACCUUUCAAUUUUCAUAAGCAUUUCUUUUUAACG